RNAcentral lists this ribosomal RNA (501 nucleotides) under Triticum aestivum (bread wheat). RNAcentral's name for it is "partial small subunit ribosomal RNA". Lineage: Eukaryota; Viridiplantae; Streptophyta; Magnoliopsida; Poales; Poaceae. The record is from RNAcentral.
AUGCAAAUCGUCACCUAUGGUCGGACGGCGGUCAACAUCAACAACGAGAUCGGGCCCUACUUCCGCACCUUGCGUGGGGUACGCCAGGGUGACCCGUUCUCCCUAUUUCUUUUCAACAUGGUUGUCGAUGCCCUCGCGGUCAUCCUCGAUAUGGCCAAAGCUUGUGGCCAUAUCCGGGGCGUUGUCCCCCACCUAGUGGGCGGGGGAGGGGUUUCCCUCCUCCAAUAUGCGGACGACACCAUAGUUAUGUUGGAGGGCUCCGCAUCAGACAUCCCCAACCUGAAGUUCCUCCUCCUAUGCUUCCAACAGAUGCCUUGGCUCACCAUCAACUUCGAUAAGAGCGGAGUGAUGGUCCUCGGCUACCCCCCGGGCGAGGCUUUGUCCAUUGCGGACAGGCUGAACUGCCGCCUGGGCUCCUUCCCCACAACUUACUUGCGUGUGCCCAUUAGUGACUCCAGACUCACCUUUGUGGACCUCCGCCCGACGGUGACUAGGAUGUAG